RNAcentral lists this long non-coding RNA (736 nucleotides) under Equus asinus (donkey). Its description in RNAcentral is "lncRNA (ENSEASG00005027788.1)". The record is from RNAcentral. Lineage: Eukaryota; Metazoa; Chordata; Mammalia; Perissodactyla; Equidae.
CAGGUUGUUGUCAUUCAUUUUAUGAAAAACUUACUGUAUAGAACUCUAGAACUUUGGCUCCUAGCAGGACAAAUGUGUUAGCCAAUGUGUGACCUUGGCUGAAUCCUUCAUUUCUCUUUCCCAGGGCAUUCUGGCCUCAGGGCUCAGUCACAACGAAGGCCCACAGAGAAGGGGUGCUGGUGGGUGACUGCAAGAUCGAUGUGACUUGAGGGCGACCAAGGAAAGACUGGGGCCCUGUGUGAGGUCCUUAAUAAGGCACUUGCCCUCCCCCUUCUUUGCUGAAAGAAACCGCACUGACGCUACAGAAACAGGAAAACCAGGACCCAGUCAUCAGCCAGCUCAGACCAAUGGACAGGGCUUUUUCUCGGGUGCCUGCCUGGUUUGCAACCUGCCUUUGACACGUGUUGGCCUGCGGGGUCCCAGCCCCUCCUGUGAGGGGUGAGGGAAGGGUUGUACCCUAAGGAUGUGGAGAAGGAUAAGCUGCAAAUCUACCAGGCCUCUCUCUCUAUCGAAGGGCAAGAUUUCACAGUGAUAUCCUCAAAUAAUUUUGCAUAAUAUGAGUACUAUUUUGUACUUUGAUUUUUCACAUAAAUGUGUCGCUUGGUAUCUGUAACCUUCAUUUUCAAUGCCUGCAAAUUAUGGGAUCUAACAUGUUUUUAGGCUUUAUUUAACUAUUCAAACAGUACUUGACAUUUGAGCUACUUUCAAGUUUUCAUUAUAAUAAAUAAUGUUGCAA